RNAcentral lists this unclassified non-coding RNA (989 nucleotides) under Hevea brasiliensis (rubber tree). Lineage: Eukaryota; Viridiplantae; Streptophyta; Magnoliopsida; Malpighiales; Euphorbiaceae. The record is from RNAcentral.
GAGUCGUGAGGUUCCCAGAGAGUCGCUGUUGUUUGUCAUCCCUGCUUUUGGUGGUAGCGUUUCUUGGGAUGGUGAAGGGGCUCCAUUUAAAGAGACUGACCAAAAUAUCACUCAUCAGGUUGUUGACCGGCCAACACAGGGCCACAAAUUCCUUUCCCGAGAAUAUGUCCAGCCACAGUGGAUUUAUGAUUGUGUUAAUGCACGCAUCCUUUUACCAGUUGAGGAUUAUAUCGUGGGAAGGAUUCCUCCACCACACUUGUCACCUUUUGUUGAUAAUGAGGCGGAAGGCUAUGUUCCUGAAUAUGCAGAGACCAUCAAGCGUCUACAGGCAGCUGCAAGAAAUGAAGUGCUUCCAAUGCCAGGGGUGGGCAAAGAGGAUUUGGACGACCCUCAAAAUUUACUCGUGGAAGGUGUCAUCGACCGUGCUGAAGCUAUUGAAGCUGCCACGAAAAAGCGGAAGAUGUCAGUUCUUCAGAAGCAAUAUCAUGAUGAAUUGAAAAAAGAACUUCGAAGUACCCAAAUUUCUACUGCUUCAGAUGGGAAUAAGGAGAGUGUUCCUGAGCACGUUGAUGCUGGAGAAGAUUCUCUUCCAGAUUUAAGUCAAAUUUCCAAGGAUGCAGACAGCAUGUCCAAGAUUGUCAUGCCACGUAAAAAGCAGAAGCUACUAAAAGCUAUGGAGAUUGGCAAAGAGCGUAAACAAGCUAGUGUUGAUCGUUUGAAAGAGAGGAAGAGAAAGAUUGAAGAGGGAAAGAAAUCAGGGAAAUAAGCAAAAUCAACAAGUGUCGUGAUCUGAAAUUGUUCGCUGUGCCGUUUAUCGUUUUUUCCUUUUUGGAUUAUUAGUUCUUUCUACAAUAUUGUAUAUUUUUGCCAAUUUGGCUAAAAUUUUGCUAAUCGUAGGUGUGUUAUGUUUUAUUAGUAUUGUACGUCUUUUGAGUACCAUUUCUUAGCAGCUUAAUACAUACACCUUGUUCCUGGAUAUGCAAGACAAU